CUCUUUCCAGGAUUCAGCGCUGCCCCUCCAGGGGUCCAUUCGAGGCUGUGCUUGUGGCCCCUUUGAGAAUGGGGAAAAGAGGCUCACCUACUCCCUCGGCGCCAGCUACGGAGAUGAUGUGACACAACACUGACGUUGUUCCCGACUCCUGCCUGGCCCGAAUUCCAGGGCCAAAGGAAGCCUGGUCCUCUUCGCGGGACCACACGAGUGCGGAAGCAAGAUCAUAGCCAUCUUCGGUGCCUGGGAAUGGGGGCUCCGCCACUGUUUGAGUGAUUCCGGUCAAAUCAAAGCGGCUCCUGCCCCUACAUAACUGCACGGCAUUUGGUGGCACUUACAGAAACCCAGGCCAGGUCCUGCAAAUCAAGGUAAAGAACCUGUGUGGAUGGGCAGUGGGAUGCCAGAGCGGGAGUGCUCUGGAUUAUGCAGACCACCAAGAACGCCCAGAGGUCGCCGAUGACCUCCGGCCCUAUCCCUGUCCAUGCCAUCCCUGCCUCUCUGGAGGGAGGAGCCGGCCCCGGUGUCAUCACAGAUGAAGAGGGGGAUCCCACAGCAGAGAAGGCCAUGACAUUUCAGUGCCUUCCUCCAUCCGCCUGCUACUGAAGGGCCAAUGGAUUCAACAGCUCCAGCUGCUAUUCCCGGUGUGACGGAGCAGGAUCCCUCUGACCCUCACCGUGUCCGGAGAAGGCAUUAGGGGCUCUCCAAACUCAGACCGCAGGACAGUACCAAGCUCUUAGUGCAGUGCUCGGCACACAGUAAGUGCUCAGUAAUUAUGAUGAAAGAAUGAAUGACAGAUCCGCGGGAGCAGGGCCUCUGCGACAGCUGCUUGCAAACGCCAGGGCAAAGGGGCAGGGUGUCCUCGGCCGGCCCAGGGUCCCAAGUCGUCCUCUGCAGCCCAGCUGCGUCGGGACACAGAGAGGGUCUGCUGGGGGGGGACACUGCUCCCAUCUCCCACCAGACACAAAGGGGGACAAGAAAAAGAGAGGCAGAAGAUGGGGCAUGGGGCUAAAUGAGGGCAAGAGAGCAGAGCAGGAUACAGCAGUGUCCAGGGCACCCAGAGUCCAAACAUCAGGGGGUAGAGAGCUGCAGAGGUCCAGUUCGGGCUCCUCCCGUUCCAGCAACCCCAGGAGACCAUCCUCUCCCCACGGGAACCUCCUGCCUAUGGCCAGUGGUUUCUCUCUGUCCCCUCGCCCCAGGCUCUCUGGUCGGUGUUCGGUUUCUGAGCGGGCAGGCAAUGGUAAUGCUACACCGCAGUGCCCCUAACACGUGUGUUCUGCUUACACACACACACACACACACACACACACACACACACACACACUCGGCCAGGCAGCGCAGCAUUUCUGGAGCCCUCCUGCCUGCCUGGCAAAGAUGACUGGGAAUGCAGACUGUGGGAGGAAACGACAAUGUUCAUUGUUUGGAUUAAAUAUUUUUCUUGGCCCUCCU
Molecule: long non-coding RNA, 1443 nt
Organism: Ornithorhynchus anatinus (platypus)
Lineage: Eukaryota; Metazoa; Chordata; Mammalia; Monotremata; Ornithorhynchidae
Exons: 4
Source: RefSeq, a predicted model, not a curated record